RNAcentral lists this long non-coding RNA (328 nucleotides) under Gossypium raimondii (Peruvian cotton). RNAcentral's name for it is "long non-coding RNA (GRAI_LNC005370)". Lineage: Eukaryota; Viridiplantae; Streptophyta; Magnoliopsida; Malvales; Malvaceae. The record is from RNAcentral.
CUUGGUUCGAAUCAUAGUAGGGGUAUGGAUGAUUUUAUUUUAAUGGUUUCAACUCUGCUAUUAAGAUGGUGGAGUUGGUGUGGGUUUUGAACUCUUAGAAAGUGGGUAGUUAUUAGAUGGUAAGUUUUGGAUAUUGUGGGAUUUUAUUUUUGAUUUAUUCUAUUUUAUUGUUUAAAAUAAUUAAUUGGUGGUUAUUUUGUUAUUUCUUUUUUUAUUUUAUUUUUAAUUUUCCCAAAAUUACCUCCGCACAAGUCACGUUCUUUUUUGUUGUUUUCCUCUUCUCUCAACUUCCACACACAUUCUUAUCUUUCUUUUUGCUUCAAAUGAU